RNAcentral lists this ribosomal RNA (468 nucleotides) under uncultured bacterium. RNAcentral's name for it is "partial 16S ribosomal RNA". It matches the Rfam family "Bacterial small subunit ribosomal RNA", at positions 28 to 507 of the family's 1533-position model. The record is from RNAcentral.
GACGAACGCUGGCGGCGUGCUUAACACAUGCAAGUCGAACGGAAAGGCCCUGCUUUUGUGGGGUGCUCGAGUGGCGAACGGGUGGGUAACACGUGAGUAACCUGCCCUUGACUUUGGGAUAACUUCAGGAAACUGGGGCUAAUACCGGAUAGGAGCUCCUGCUGCAUGGUGGGGGUUGGAAAGUUUCGGCGGUUGGGGAUGGACUCGCGGCCUAUCAGCUUGUUGGUGGGGUAGUGGCUUACCAAGGCUUUGACGGGUAGCCGGCCUGAGAGGGUGACCGGCCACAUUGGGACUGAGAUACGGCCCAGACUCCUACGGGAGGCAGCAGUGGGGAAUAUUGCACAAUGGGCGGAAGCCUGGUGCAGCAACGCCGCGUGCGGGAUGACGGCCUUCGGGUUGUAAACCGCUUUCGCCUGUGACGAAGCGUGAGUGACGGUAAUGGGUAAAGAAGCACCGGCUAACUACGUG